GACGAACGCUGGCGGCGUGCUUAACACAUGCAAGUCGAACGGAAAGGCCCUGCUUUUGUGGGGUGCUCGAGGGGCGAACGGGUGAGUAACACGUGAGUAACCUGCCCUUGACUUUGGGAUAACUUCAGGAAACUGGGGCUAAUACCGGAUAGGAGCUCCUGCUGCAUGGUGGGGGUUGGAAAGUUUCGGCGGGUGGGGAUGGACUCGCGGCUUAUCAGCUUGUUGGUGGGGUAGUGGCUUACCAAGGCUUUGACGGGUAGCCGGCCGGGGAGGGUGACCGGCCACAUUGGGACUGCGGUACGGCCCAGACGCCUACGGGAGGCAGCAGUGGGGAAUAUUGCCCAAUGGGCGGAAGCCUGAUGCAGCAGCGCCGCGUGCGGGAUGACGGCCUUCGGGUUGUAAACCGCUUUCGCCUGUGACGAAGCGUGAGUGACGGUAAUGGGUAAAGAAGCACCGGCUAACUACGUG
RNAcentral lists this ribosomal RNA (468 nucleotides) under uncultured bacterium. Its description in RNAcentral is "partial 16S ribosomal RNA". It matches the Rfam family "Bacterial small subunit ribosomal RNA", at positions 28 to 507 of the family's 1533-position model. The record is from RNAcentral.